ACCUGUACGGUGGGCGGCGCGUCCUCAGCGCAUGCGAUGGUGAAGGCGGCCUCCUUCCCGACGUGCGCGUGCGCCAGCCCCGUGCCGGCGCAGACUCAUGGUGAUAUAAUUAGUAUGUAGGUACCUGUACGGUGGGCGGCGCGUCCUCAGCGCAUGCGAUGGUGAAGGCGGCCUCCUUCCCGACGUGCGCGUGCGCCAGCCCCGUGCCGGCGCAGACUCAUGGUGAUAUAAUUAGUAUGUAGGUACCUGUACGGUGGGCGGCGCGUCCUCAGCGCAUGCGAUGGUGAAGGCGGCCUCCUUCCCGACGUGCGCGUGCGCCAGCCCCGUGCCGGCGCAGACUCAUGGUGAUAUAAUUAGUAUGUAGGUACCUGUACGGUGGGCGGCGCGUCCUCAGCGCAUGCGAUGGUGAAGGCGGCCUCCUUCCCGACGUGCGCGUGCGCCAGCCCCGUGCCGGCGCAGACUCAUGGUGAUAUAAUUAGUAUGUAGGUACCUGUACGGUGGGCG
Molecule: long non-coding RNA, 504 nt
Organism: Spodoptera frugiperda (fall armyworm)
Lineage: Eukaryota; Metazoa; Arthropoda; Insecta; Lepidoptera; Noctuidae
Exons: 3
Source: RefSeq, a predicted model, not a curated record